Molecule: ribosomal RNA, 470 nt
Filed under: uncultured bacterium
Lineage: Bacteria
Description: bacterial SSU rRNA
Rfam family: Bacterial small subunit ribosomal RNA
Source: RNAcentral
GAUGAACGCUGGCGGCGUGCUUAACACAUGCAAGUCGAACGAAGAUGCCGGAGUGCUUGCACUUUGGCAGACUGAGUGGCGGACGGGUGAGUAACGCGUGGGUAACCUGCCUUAUACAGGGGGAUAACAGUUGGAAACGACUGCUAAUACCGCAUAAGCGCACGGUAUCGCAUGAUACAGUGUGAAAAACUCCGGUGGUAUAAGAUGGACCCGCGUCUGAUUAGCUAGUUGGUGAGGUAACGGCCCACCAAGGCGACGAUCAGUAGCCGGCCUGAGAGGGUGAACGGCCACAUUGGGACUGAGACACGGCCCAAACUCCUACGGGAGGCAGCAGUGGGGAAUAUUGCACAAUGGGGGAAACCCUGAUGCAGCGACGCCGCGUGAGUGAUGAAGUAUUUCGGUAUGUAAAACUCUAUCAGCAGGGAAGAUAAUGACGGUACCUGACUAAGAAGCACCGGCUAAAAUACGUG